RNAcentral lists this ribosomal RNA (161 nucleotides) under Persicaria hydropiper. Its description in RNAcentral is "5.8S ribosomal RNA". It matches the Rfam family "5.8S ribosomal RNA". Rfam says of the family: 5.8S ribosomal RNA (5.8S rRNA) is a component of the large subunit of the eukaryotic ribosome. It is transcribed by RNA polymerase I as part of the 45S precursor that also contains 18S and 28S rRNA. RNAcentral also lists the same sequence under 1 other name. Lineage: Eukaryota; Viridiplantae; Streptophyta; Magnoliopsida; Caryophyllales; Polygonaceae. The record is from RNAcentral.
CGACUCUCGGCAACGGAUAUCUCGGCUCUCGCAUCGAUGAAGAACGUAGCGAAAUGCGAUACUUGGUGUGAAUUGCAGAAUCCCGUGAACCAUCGAGUCUUUGAACGCAAGUUGCGCCCGAAGCCUUCGGGCCAAGGGCACGUCUGCCUGGGCGUCACGCA